Molecule: non-coding RNA, 45 nt
Organism: Brassica rapa (field mustard)
Lineage: Eukaryota; Viridiplantae; Streptophyta; Magnoliopsida; Brassicales; Brassicaceae
Source: Rfam
CUUAAGGCCUUUUUCAAGGCCAUUAACACAAAACAAGAUGGGCCU